UAAAAAAUAAAGGCAUUGCCCUAGUUUUGAUGCCAGCUGCCUGGGGCAGGCAUGUGCAUCCACAUCAGUUUCCCCAGGCCAGUUGUGUGUUCAUUGUUCCUGAGUUCUGACACCUGGCACCCACUGCCAGUGGAUUGUUGCUGCUGGGGAGCUGCAGCCUCCAUCCUCACCCAUUGUGCGGGCACCACAUCAGAGCCACACUCCCAGCUUCUGUAGGGUGCAACUGCUUUCAGGAUGAUCCCAGGUUCUCCUGGUAUAAAGGGGACAUCUGGGGCCAGGACAAGAGGCUGGCUUGGCUUCCCUGGGCUCUCUUCAAUUACUCAGCUUGAAUGAGGUCAUCCAGUGGUUUAAUGAGAGUAAAACGGUUCGUCGGGAAUUUGCACUGAUGGCUGGCCAAUCCCAGAGGAGUCCUAGGAGACGUGUCCAAGCCAGGAAUGCCCCUCUCUCUUUGGAGUGCUCUGGGCCCAGGAGCUGAGCCACAGAGGGGGCCAGGGCAGCCAGUCCCCAGACAGAACCAGGCCCCCAGAGCUGCAGGCUGGCCUAGCCCUCCCGUUCUCCCUUCUGCCCAAAGCCAGGCCACUCUGUGCGCCAGGACUCAGGCAGCUUUUUGAUAGGAGGCUCCUCCAGAUCAUCUGGCCUGGGUGUCCAGACUGGCAGCGCCAACCCCUCCCCACCAUGCGCUCUCUUCCUGAGGACAGUGUAGAGAAGAGGAGCUUGCGGGGUCAGACCCAACACCCAGCCCAAGGACGUGGUGCCUUUGGUCCCGAGGAACGGGCCAUUCACUUAUGUUCUGCAGGCUCUAGCCAGUCAUGGUGCCUCGAUGCCAGGUGCCUUUGGGACUUGGGCCCAGCAGAGGGCGCUGUGGGACUACCAUGGGCCAGUCAUGGUGGGCCAUCCAGCUGAGAAAUCCCCGGACCAUGCCCAGAGCUGGCAGGUGGCCCUGGGCGUUCAUGGGUGUCUGCUUCCUGGUGGCCGUGCAUGCCCCGCCCCACCCACCAUGUACUUCAGACUUGGCCCAGAGAUACAUCCCAUUUGGAAAGCCAUUUGCAUGAAGCAGCCUGCGUCCCCAUGCCAGUGGGCAGUGAAGCAGUUAUAAACAGGAUUUGCACCAUCCCUGAGUUCCAGGCAACCCAACAUCUCCACCAUGGCCUGGACUUCUCUCCUUGUGCUCCUCACUCUCUGCAAAGGGGUCAGUUCUCAGGCUGUGGUGACUCAGGAGCCAUCUCUGACUGCGAUCCCAGGAGGAACAGUCACCCUGACAUGCAGCUCCAGCACAGGGGCCGUCACCUCUGGGCACUAUCCUGCAUGGAUCCAGCAGAAGUCUGGCCAAGCUCCCAGGGGCCUCAUCUAUCAUACAAGCAAUCUUGUAUCAGGUGUCCCUGCCCGGUUCUCAGGGUCCCUGCUUGGGGACAAAGCUGCCCUCACCAUCAAGGGGGCCCAGCCUGAGGACGAGGCUGAUUAUUACUGUGCCUUGUAUUAUAGUGGUUCUUCGCACAGUGAGAGACUCAGAUGAGGAACCGAGACAAAAACCUAUUAUAACCUAGCUUGGGUCCAGCUGCUGAAGGCAACAGGGAUGUCUGGGAUGCCCGGCUUCCUGGCCCAAGGGAUGUCUGCGCUCUCUCUAAGACCCCGCACAUAUUUCCUGGGCCAUGUCUAAGAAUGGGUCCCCAAGCCCCGCCCCAGCAGAGCAGGGCCUAUUCCACCCCCGAGCCUUCCAAAGGGUGUAUUUCUUGGUCUCCCUGCUUACUCAAGAAGGGAAAGGCUGUCAAUAUGGCCGCUGUAACACCUUCCAAAGCCUCUAGGGUGGUGUUGCUUUCUCCCUUCUCAUCCUGUACGGCAUGGACAUCUUUGAUUUGGGAGGGUUAGACGGCAGGUGAGUGCAUGACCGUUGCUUUCGAGGAGAGUGGUCAUCUUUGGGGUAGGGAGUGGGGAAAGAGAGGGGGCUGGUGAAGGGGCCCCCUCCUCCAUGAGAGAAGCAAACAGAAGGAAUCCUUGACAAGCAGGAGAACAGCUUGGAAAGUGACACUUUAUUCUAUACAAUAAAAGAAGAGUCAGCUGUAUUUAAUAGAGAUUGGAGGCUCAAUGUGUUCUCAUCUCCUCCUCCCUACUGCAGUGUAGAUGGAAAUGCUCCUUUUAUUUGAAGUUAGUUGGCUUCAGAUUUAAAAAAAAAUGAAAGUGAGAAAGCGCCUAAUCAAGUGUCCUGAAAAGUGAAGAAAUGCACAGUAGAAAACACACGCUCCAGUCACACGCAGUUAACCCAAGAAGCAAAGCUUUACUGAGGGGGCUAGACCCCAAUCUGGAGGGCAUGAAUAAUAGCUAAUUAUUGGACUUUUUAUGUACAACAGGAGUAUAAAUGCAUGAACUUUUUUUUCAGUGUAAGAAAAUUUGGAAUCAAAGCCAAUAAAACAAAGCAAACAUAGGCCCUAGUGGAAAUCCUGCCUAACGUGUCCUCUGACCCUGCCCCCAGCCUGGUCUGGGCCUCCAUCCUCUUAUACCUGGAUUAUGGCAAGAGCUCUGGAGGGUGCCUGCCUGUCUCAAGUCUCUCCCCACUCCAGUACUUCCUCCCAUCAGCCACUAAGUGGACCAUUUCCCUCCCCUGCUCAAUAACAACCUGUGGCUCCCUGUCACCUCCAACACCUAACACUAAACCCUCUGGCUUUCAGAACCCUUCAUCACCUCAUCCUUUCUGCACUUUCCGGUCUCCUUGUCCAUUGUUUCCUCUACACACUCAGGGAUUGAGUGCACUGGCCUUCUCGCUCUUCCAUCUCUCAAUUCUCUGACUCUUCACUGGCUCUCCCCCAGCCAGACUGCCCGGAACGCUCUCCCUUCCUUACUGCCACUACUUGGCUUUUUAGUCUCUCAUUGGCAAGUGGAUCUUCCCAGAGCCCCUCGUCUUCCCUCUGAGACCCCCUUCCCUUGACUUUGUGUCUGUCUCUUAGAUGGAGUGGGAGAGGCAGCCCCUCUGAUAGCUUCUCUCCUUGUGGAGAGCGUGCAAACACGCUUCCAGGAGAUUCCAUUUGGAGAAGACUCUCCUCGUGGGCUGAGAUGGAUGAGGCAGAAUUGGCAAGAACUUGGGAAGAGAGAGAUCCAGGUUCUCUGGCUUCCGUCUUUGAGAGAGCCGAUACCCAGAUCUCAAUCUCCUCAGGUCCCUGAAGGGAAAGAAAGACUAGAAAGGAGCCACCAGGUAAGAGCCAGCAACUUGAUCAGGCCCCUGUCUUUAGAACACUACGCGGGAGACCAGAACAUUUCUCCUUGGGCCAGAUCUGGGGGUCGGUCUCGGUCUCUGUCGGUCUCAGUCUCUGUCUCUGUCUCUGUCUCUGUCUCUGUCUCAGUCUCAGUCUCAGUCUCAGUCU
This is a non-coding RNA of Dromiciops gliroides (monito del monte), 3353 nucleotides long. Lineage: Eukaryota; Metazoa; Chordata; Mammalia; Microbiotheria; Microbiotheriidae. The record is from the annotation of a RefSeq genome assembly.